Molecule: long non-coding RNA, 666 nt
Filed under: Numida meleagris (helmeted guineafowl)
Lineage: Eukaryota; Metazoa; Chordata; Aves; Galliformes; Numididae
Description: lncRNA (ENSNMEG00000018050.1)
Source: RNAcentral
GGGAGGAGAAAACUUGGCAGAAGCACCAGUCCGUAAUUCAGAAAUGAUUCCGCCUUAUCGCAUUCUGCAAAUAUCACGCAUAGUGGGAAGUUAAAUUACUGCAUACUGCAAGUGCAGGCAGAGAGAGCACCAUUACGGCCCAGCAAAGGUCUUGCUCUGGGACAUCUGUGAGAGGCAGAAGCCAGCUCUAACCUUGUGCAUGGCAGAAUUCACGUGUGCAGGGCUGCAUCCAGGUUUGUUCCUGCCUCAGCCCCAUUGCCACACUUGCAGAUCUUGUCUGUGACAAAUGCCAGCUGACAAAUUCCACGUUCAGCACUUGGGAUGCACGUGGCAGGAUGGGGACUGUGAGAAGAGGAGAUUUUCUCUUCGGUGGCAUUAAUUACAGGUCGAUCUUCUCCCAUUCUGCAUGCUGUGCAUGGAGGUAAGUGUUUGCAGUCCCCGCUGCUGGUUCGAUGAGGUUUUUCUGGUAGAGUUUGCAGCAGGACCUUCCAGUGUGGUAAUUCAGGUAUAAUAACUUCUCCUCCCCUGAUGGGGCUGACUCGUGGAAUCCAUUAAGCUGUGUGGUUCUGGCUGUGUUCCUGGUUUCCUCGAGAUAAAGGCUUUUUAGUUUUUUGCUUGAAGUAAAUGUUUAUUUGUUAUCAACAGUUUAGAGUCAGCAAUUGUCAG